CGGGGCAUAGCGCAGUCUGGUAGCGCACUGCUUUGGGAGCAGGGGGUCGCAAGUUCGAAUCUUGCUGCCCCGACCA
Molecule: transfer RNA, 76 nt
Filed under: Methyloceanibacter stevinii
Lineage: Bacteria; Pseudomonadati; Pseudomonadota; Alphaproteobacteria; Hyphomicrobiales; Hyphomicrobiaceae
Description: tRNA-Pro
Rfam family: tRNA
About the family: Transfer RNA (tRNA) molecules are approximately 80 nucleotides in length. Their secondary structure includes four short double-helical elements and three loops (D, anti-codon, and T loops).
Source: RNAcentral